AGGGAUACCUUUAAUACCAAUUGAUGGGAUCGGGUCUCGCCUGAUGGACCGACUCUAUUAUCAAUUGAUGGGAUCCUAACACAGCGGCCGUAUUGUGCUUUCUGCAAAAUCCGAACCCAAAAUGCGACCAACGUCUCUGCAUUCCAAUUUCUUCUCAUCUCUGAAGCAGGUAGGUUAUAUGUUCAUAUUUUCAUAAUUUAACGUUUCUUCUCUCUCAUGGUCUCAUGUAUGUUGCAGGUUGAGAAAAGAUUGAAGCUUGAAAGCCCAACACAACCCUUCAAUUUACCACAUGUGGGCACUAAUGACACAUCGACAGAAUCUCUAAGUACGCCGAUCUAUCUCCAUAUCGAAGAAGAACCCAACAGCAAUAACUCAACGACUCUCCAAGAAAGCAGUGAGCCUCCACCAGCUUUCCUAUCAUCUUCUAUAAACUCCUCAUCAACUAAUCAAAACCCACAUCAAGAAAUCCCCCAAGAACAGCCCAAAACCAUCGAUGGGAGUAAAACUACUGGUGUUGAUGAUAUUGAACUGUUAAUGCAGCUAUUGGGAUUGUCAGAUUUUGAUAAAGGAAACCAUGAAAAAGAAAGUUUUUGUGACGAUUCUUGUAGAUGCGAGGGUGGGUUUUAUGAGAAGAUUGUUGGAGCUAAGGGGCCCAAGUGUAAAAAGGAAGUGGAGAGAUUGGAGGGGUGGAUUAGGUACUAUUUACAGGAUGGUGGUGGAGAAGAGAAGAGGGAGCCAUUGAGGUUGGCUUUUUUGCUGUUGGGAAAGGCUAAUUUUGAGUCGGAAAAUGAAGAUGGUGCUAGUUUUGGUGGCUUGGACAUCGAGUUCCCUUCAGCAAUUGAGGAGUUUCUGAAGUAUGAUCCACCAAGAGAAUCAAAUUGAGGCAUCACAUUCUUGUGUGGUUUAUUUCUGUAAUUUAUGUUGCCCCAUGGGCCUAGGCAAUUUUAGAUUAUGAGAAAAAUAUGUUGAAUCUGAUUGUGGAAAUUUUCACAUAAAAGAGUCCUGAGAAUUUUCUCUUCCCUGAUUGUUGUUCCCUUCGCUUCCAUAUAUACUUGUAGAUGUAGCAGCAUUGAUGCUGCCUUUGUUAGGCUACAAUUGAUGGAUCAGGAAAAAUGAAUUAUAUGAUCUUCUGAACA
Molecule: unclassified non-coding RNA, 1136 nt
Filed under: Hevea brasiliensis (rubber tree)
Lineage: Eukaryota; Viridiplantae; Streptophyta; Magnoliopsida; Malpighiales; Euphorbiaceae
Source: RNAcentral